Non-coding RNA from Naegleria gruberi, 73 nucleotides. NCBI's taxonomy places the organism in Eukaryota, Heterolobosea, Eutetramitea, Acrasida, Naegleriidae. The record is from the annotation of a RefSeq genome assembly.
GAGACUGUAGCUCAGAUGGGAGAGUAUUCGUUAACCCAACGAAUGGUCUUAGGUUCAAAUCCUAACUGUUUCU